This 121-nucleotide small nucleolar RNA is filed under the name Echinops telfairi (small Madagascar hedgehog). Its description in RNAcentral is "Small nucleolar RNA SNORA61 (ENSETEG00000024373.1)". Lineage: Eukaryota; Metazoa; Chordata; Mammalia; Afrosoricida; Tenrecidae. The record is from RNAcentral.
ACCCUCCAGGUUCCUUACCCUUCAGAUCUAAAUAUUGGUCUGACUGGCUCAAAAAGGAGUGAAAGUACAAUUGAAGUGGACUUAGAGUCUUUACUGACAUACAAGUUUAUUCCAGACAUAA